GCUACAGGGAGAGAACGGAGAAGACGGCCUGGAAGGAAUCGACGGCGAGCAGGGAGAGACGGGACUUGAUGGAGCUCGAGGAGAUAAAGGACACCCAGGAAACCCAGGUAUCCCGGGUAUCAGAGGGGAGACGGGGCCUAAAGGACAGCGAGGACUGAGAGGAGAUCCGG
Molecule: long non-coding RNA, 170 nt
Organism: Micropterus dolomieu (smallmouth bass)
Lineage: Eukaryota; Metazoa; Chordata; Actinopteri; Centrarchiformes; Centrarchidae
Exons: 3
Source: RefSeq, a predicted model, not a curated record